GAUGAACGCUGGCGGCGUGCCUAAUACAUGCAAGUCGAGCGAACGGACGAGAAGCUUGCUUCUCUGAUGUUAGCGGCGGACGGGUGAGUAACACGUGGAUAACCUACCUAUAUGACUGGGAUAACUUCGGGAAACCGGAGCUAAUACCGGAUAAUAUUUUGAACCGCAUGGUUCAAAAGUGAAAGACGGUCUUGCUGUCACUUAUAGAUGGAUCCGCGCUGCAUUAGCUAGUUGGUAAGGUAACGGCUUACCAAGGCAACGAUGCAUAGCCGACCUGAGAGGGUGAUCGGCCACACUGGAACUGAGACACGGUCCAGACUCCUACGGGAGGCAGCAGUAGGGAAUCUUCCGCAAUGGGCGAAAGCCUGACGGAGCAACGCCGCGUGAGUGAUGAAGGUCUUCGGAUCGNUAAACUCUGUUAUUAGGGAAGAACAUAUGUGUAAGUAACUGUGCACAUCUUGACGGUACCUAAUCAGAAAGCCACGGCUAACUACGUGCCAGCAGCCGCGGUAAUGCGUANGUGGNCAGCGUUAUCCGGAAUUAUUUGGGCGUAAGCGCGCGUAGGCGGUUUUUUAAGUCUGAUGUGAAAGCCCACGGCUCACCGUGGAGGGUCAUUGGAAACUGGAAAACUUGAGUGCAGAAGAGGAAAGUGGAAUUCCAUGUGUAGCGGUGAAAUGCGCAGAGAUAUGGAGGAACACCAGUGGCGAAGGCGACUUUCUGGUCUGUAACUGACGCUGAUGUGCGAAAGCGUGGGGAUCAAACAGGAUUAGAUACCCUGGUAGUCCACGCCGUAAACGAUGAGUGCUAAGUGUUAGGGGGUUUCCGCCCCUUAGUGCUGCAGCUAACGCAUUAAGCACUCCGCCUGGGGAGUACGACCGCAAGGUUGAAACUCAAAGGAAUUGACGGGGACCCGCACAAGCGGUGGAGCAUGUGGUUUAAUUCGAAGCAACGCGAAGAACCUUACCAAAUCUUGACAUCCUUUGACAACUCUAGAGAUAGAGCCUUCCCCUUCGGGGGACAAAGUGACAGGUGGUGCAUGGUUGUCGUCAGCUCGUGUCGUGAGAUGUUGGGUUAAGUCCCGCAACGAGCGCAACCCUUAAGCUUAGUUGCCAUCAUUAAGUUGGGCACUCUAAGUUGACUGCCGGUGACAAACCGGAGGAAGGUGGGGAUGACGUCAAAUCAUCAUGCCCCUUAUGAUUUGGGCUACACACGUGCUACAAUGGACAAUACAAAGGGCAGCGAAACCGCGAGGUCAAGCAAAUCCCAUAAAGUUGUUCUCAGUUCGGAUUGUAGUCUGCAACUCGACUACAUGAAGCUGGAAUCGCUAGUAAUCGUAGAUCAGCAUGCUACGGUGAAUACGUUCCCGGGUCU
Molecule: ribosomal RNA, 1371 nt
Filed under: uncultured bacterium
Lineage: Bacteria
Description: bacterial SSU rRNA
Rfam family: Bacterial small subunit ribosomal RNA
Source: RNAcentral